RNAcentral lists this ribosomal RNA (253 nucleotides) under uncultured bacterium. RNAcentral's name for it is "partial 16S ribosomal RNA". It matches the Rfam family "Bacterial small subunit ribosomal RNA", at positions 524 to 776 of the family's 1533-position model. The record is from RNAcentral.
UACGUAGGUGGCAAGCGUUGUCCGGAUUUACUGGGCGUAAAGGGCGCGUAGGCGGAUGGUACAGUCAGACGUGAAAUUCCUGGGCUCAACCUGGGGGCUGCGUUUGAUACGUGCUGUCUGGAGUUCGGAAGAGGGUCGUGGAAUUCCCAGUGUAGAGGUGAAAUUCGUAGAUAUUGGGAAGAACACCGGUGGCGAAGGCGGCGACCUGGUCCGAUACUGACGCUGAGGCGCGAAAGCGUGGGGAGCAAACAGG